Molecule: unclassified non-coding RNA, 268 nt
Filed under: uncultured fungus
Lineage: Eukaryota; Fungi
Description: sequence contains ITS1, 5.8S rRNA gene
Rfam family: 5.8S ribosomal RNA (bases 220-268)
Source: RNAcentral
UCUCCGUUGGUGAACCAGCGGAGGGAUCAUUGCUGGAACAAACGCCCUCACGGGUGCUACCCAGAAACCCUUUGUGAAUCUUAUUACAUGUUGCCUCGGCACUGGUUGCUUCCCCCGUGGAAGCCCUGUAGCCCAAUUACAGGAGCCGACCGGCCGACGGCCCCUAUAAACUCUUGUUUUUGUAAAAUCCUCUGAGUAACAAACAACUAAAUGAAUCAAAACUUUCAACAACGGAUCUCUUGGUUCUGGCAUCGAUGAAGAACGCAGC